CAACUUGCAUCAGCUGAUGCAUUCCAUUAAGAUUACAUCACGGCUUGACUUCUUCCUCUGCCCAAUUCUUCCCUAACCUCACAAAUGAUGAUCCUAAGAGCAUUUCCAAAUUAAUCUGCACACCAAUCAUGAUCACAGAAUACUGAAGAUGGAAGAGACUUCAAGAUCAUCUAAUUCAGGGGGUGAAGAUUUUGAAAAAGUCCCUCAAAAGGAAUCUAGAAUGAGAAAAUCAUCAUUUUGCAACCUGUAAUGAAAGCACUGACUCAGGCAGUACUCAUCAGUAGAUAAAAACUAUUAGUGGAAAAGUUGAUCAGUAACUUUACAAUGGAAGAAGUGGGUUCUCACCAUCUGAACCCAGAUCAAUCCUUGUAUCAUUAAAAGUGGA
Molecule: long non-coding RNA, 385 nt
Organism: Zalophus californianus (California sea lion)
Lineage: Eukaryota; Metazoa; Chordata; Mammalia; Carnivora; Otariidae
Exons: 3
Source: RefSeq, a predicted model, not a curated record